This 892-nucleotide ribosomal RNA is filed under the name uncultured Bacteroidota bacterium. RNAcentral describes it as "bacterial SSU rRNA". It matches the Rfam family "Bacterial small subunit ribosomal RNA", at positions 28 to 916 of the family's 1533-position model. The record is from RNAcentral. Lineage: Bacteria; Pseudomonadati; Bacteroidota.
GACGAACGCUGGCGGCGUGCCUAACACAUGCAAGUCGAACGGAACUUCUUUGAAAGAUUUCUUCGGAAUGAAUUUGAUUAAGUUUAGUGGCGGACGGGUGAGUAACGCGUGAGUAACCUGCCUCUAAGAGGGGAAUGACAUUCUGAAAAGAAUGCUAAUACCGCAUAAUAUAUAUUUAUCGCAUGGUAGAUAUAUCAAAGAUUUAUCGCUUAGAGAUGGACUCGCGUCCGAUUAGUUAGUUGGUGAGGUAACGGCUCACCAAGACCGCGAUCGGUAGCCGGACUGAGAGGUUGAACGGCCACAUUGGGACUGAGACACGGCCCAGACUCCUACGGGAGGCAGCAGUGGGGGAUAUUGCGCAAUGGGGGAAACCCUGACGCAGCAACGCCGCGUGAAGGAUGAAGGUCUUCGGAUUGUAAACUUCUUUUAUUAAGGACGAAGAAAGUGACGGUACUUAAUGAAUAAGCUCCGGCUAACUACGUGCCAGCAGCCGCGGUAAUACGUAGGGAGCAAGCGUUGUCCGGAUUUACUGGGUGUAAAGGGUGCGUAGGCGGCUUUGCAAGUCAGAUGUGAAAUCUAUGGGCUCAACCCAUAGCCUGCAUUUGAAACUGCAGAGCUUGAGUGAAGUAGAGGCAGGCGGAAUUCCCCGUGUAGCGGUGAAAUGCGUAGAGAUGGGGAGGAACACCAGUGGCGAAGGCGGCCUGCUGGGCUUUAACUGACGCUGAGGCACGAAAGCGUGGGUAGCAAACAGGAUUAGAUACCCUGGUAGUCCACGCUGUAAACGAUGAUUACUAGGUGUGGGGGGUCUGACCCCUUCCGUGCCGGAGUUAACACAAUAAGUAAUCCACCUGGGGAGUACGGCCGCAAGGUUGCAACUCAAAGGAAUUGACGG